This is a long non-coding RNA of Coregonus clupeaformis (lake whitefish), 374 nucleotides long. RefSeq lists it as uncharacterized. Lineage: Eukaryota; Metazoa; Chordata; Actinopteri; Salmoniformes; Salmonidae. The record is from RefSeq and is a predicted model, not a curated record. The transcript is spliced from 3 exons.
UAGCUACAGCCAAGUUCACAAGCUGUAUUAGUUAUGCAAACUAUCUUGGCUGGUAAAUCAAGAGACUGAACAGUGUGGAAUUGGUGUUUUGUUUUUCUGCACAGGGCAUACAGCAUUAUUAUGUUGUACAUUUAGUAAAAGAGAACAAUGUUGAAGUUGUACCAGAGCAGUGGGUGGAGAAGAGAGAUGGGGUCCUGUGUUGCUACUGGCCAAGAAAUGCCAUUAAGAGAGGAGACCGGCCUGACAAAAUAUUACGGGAGUAGUACAGAAUUUCCAUCUUUUCAUCAACUGACAAUUACUCUGUGGCAGAGCAACGAGCCAAACGGGGGGUUGACACCUCCAAUGUUGAAUCUGACGAGGAACCAGCGAAGAGG